GUAGGGGGCAAGCGUUAUCCGGAUUUACUGGGUGUAAAGGGUACGUAGGCGGCCUAGUAAGUUAGAAGUGAAAUAAUAUAGCUCAACUAUAUAAAGCUUUUAAAACUGUUAGGCUUGAGAGAUGAAAGGGAAAGUGGAAUUCCUAGUGUAGCGGUGAAAUGCGCAGAUAUUAGGAAGAAUACCGGUGGCGAAGGCGACUUUCUGGUCAUCAUCUGACGCUGAGGUACGAAAGCGUGGGUAGCAAACAGGAUUAGAUACCCUGGUAGUCCACGCUGUAAACGAUGAGUGUUAGGUUCUUGGAAUAAUCUGGGAGCCGCAGCUAACGCAUUAAACACUCCGCCUGGGGAGU
This 349-nucleotide ribosomal RNA is filed under the name uncultured bacterium. Its description in RNAcentral is "bacterial SSU rRNA". It matches the Rfam family "Bacterial small subunit ribosomal RNA", at positions 527 to 881 of the family's 1533-position model. The record is from RNAcentral.